This is a long non-coding RNA of Papilio machaon (common yellow swallowtail), 597 nucleotides long. RefSeq lists it as uncharacterized. The record is from RefSeq and is a predicted model, not a curated record. The transcript has 3 exons. Lineage: Eukaryota; Metazoa; Arthropoda; Insecta; Lepidoptera; Papilionidae.
AAGUUGGUCGCACUUUAUAGAUAUUUAAACUUUGAUGGAAGAAGUCAGAAGAAGUGACAGUUGAAAUAUGACUGCGAAACCAAUGUUUCGCUUUUGGAAAUUGAAGGCAAUUUUAUAUUUUUUGAAUGAAUUUCAGUCAUAAUAUAUCUAAAAGCUCUCUCAGAUCUUCGUCUUCCUCAAGCAAAAGUAUUUAUCAACCGGAAGAAAUAAUAAAACUUGAAAACAUAAUUGCAGCUCUUCAACAUAACAAUGAAACUUUAAAAAAAUCUUUGGAGAAGAGGGACACUGCGAUAGCAAUUUUAACCCGAGAGAAAGAAAAUAUAUACAAAGAACUAAAGUGCGCACAGAGGACAAAUCGAAAUCUGUAUCAGCAGUUGACAGACGAGAGGGAUAUACAUUUUAAGGAGAAGGAAUAUUUGUUACAAGACAUUAAAAGGUUAUCUGUAAGACGUGAGACAAACACAAUCUUUGAAACUCGUUGUGAAGGAGAAAGAAUAUUUCCGUCAUUGGAAGAGGAAAUCCAAGAAAAAGAUCACAUAAUUUACAACAUAUGUACCAAAUAUCUGAAAGUUAAAUCAUGCAAAAUGUCGCUGCAAA